CUCGUGCUAUACUACUGUCUAAAAAAACGUGUCCUGUUAGGACUCUCUCUCAAUUGCAGACAAAACCAAUUCCCAGUACAUAUAUAUGCAUCUCUAAAAGACACUGCUGCCAGACGCAUCAAACUCCACACAAGAAUCACAGAGUUAUACAUACAUACAUACACAAUGUCUAAUCGCUACACACACAACAAAAACGAAGGCUCAAGAGGCGCAUUCAAUCCUAGAAAACAACAAUUCGUCCCCAAAAACCCUAAUUCAUCAGCACAAAAACUCUCCGAUUCUCUCCGUCACUCCGAUUCCGGCGCCGUCGCAUCGUCUGCGACCGCCGGAAACAGGCUCACACGGAAAGACGGCGCUUCGGUGCCUAAUCAGACGCGGAGUGGCAAUUUUGUAAAAUAUUUGCCACAUGAUGAGGCGGUUGCUUCUGGAUUGGCUGCUGAUGUGGAUUGGAUCCUAUUGAGUCGCAACGUGUUGUCGAUUUGCUUAAUCGAGAAUUGUCGCGUUUGCUGAAAUUGAAUCCUCGGGAAUUCUGGAAAGAAGUGGCAGGUGAUACAUCCUUGCACGAUUUUCUAGAAAGUUUCCUGAAAUCUAGAACUAGAUGGUAUGAUUUUCCAUAUCGCGGAGCUAGAGGAAUUGUUGCAGGAACUAUUGUUGGGGAGUAUGAAUUAAGUAGGCGUGUCUAUAUGGUACUAUAUCGAAUAUCUUCCAGUCGAGAUCCAGGAGCUAAGGCUGGGGAUAGUCUUAGUCCAAAAGAUCAUGCAGUUUUCUUUAUUGAUUUUUUUAUUUUGAGGCUGACUAUAUGCACUUGGAUAAGCCAACAUAGAAAGGAACAUUUGAUGCAGAAGAGAAAGCGGUGAAGCUUAGGAGUGAACUCGUGGGCAAUGCUGCUAAGGUGAAGGAUAUUACUCGGACUUUUAAGCUGGUUGAUGGAGAACUCACCUAUGAAGUUGAAAUGGCAACUGGAUCUGUAAGCCUUCAGCCACACUUAAAAGCCUCACUGAAGAAGCUGUGAAAUAAAAUCAGUUACUUGGCAAGUAUAAAAAUUGUUAAGUUGCUUAUGCGGCUCUAUCCAGUUUCAAGUUUUCCUUUUGCGGCUUCUUUUUCUGCAAAUGUUUUCCUAGCAAGUUGUGUUUCGAGCUGUUAACUGACUGGGUGGCAUCACCGAAACUUAUGCAUCACAAUAACAUUUGCCUAAAAGUUAUGUGGUAUUUGGGAAUUAGCAUAUCACAAUUCUUGAUGUUUCGAGUUAAAAAAUUCGUAGCUGGCAUUUAGUGCGUCGUCGCUGUGACUCUUGUAACACUAUACUUGGGUAUAUUUGUCAAUCCUUGCUCUAAUGCUCUCAUAACGUGGGAACAUCCUAUCUGGCUUAUUUAUUCUACAUAUCUCAUUUGUCUUAAUAAUAUCUUUGAUGAAUUGCAAUCCAUUUCACCCACUUAUACGCUGCCCUGUAGUUGUAAUCUCCUGUUCAGGACUCUCUCUCCCAAUAGAGAUUGCAGACAAAACCAAUUUUGGGUCAUCUAUCUAUCUAUAUACAACACAUAUGCACAAGUCGAGCUUGCCUCUUAAAGUGAGUUGAUCAAAAUCUGAAAAUGGCGAGCGGCGGCAUAGCUAGAGAACUCACUUCCAAAGAGGCCGACAUUCAGAAGAUGUUGGCGGCUGAGGUGCAUCUCGGUGCCAAAAAUUGUGACUUUCAAAUGGAACGUUAUGUCUUCAAGCGCCGCAACAAUG
This is a long non-coding RNA of Daucus carota subsp. sativus, 1728 nucleotides long. RefSeq lists it as uncharacterized. The record is from RefSeq and is a predicted model, not a curated record. Lineage: Eukaryota; Viridiplantae; Streptophyta; Magnoliopsida; Apiales; Apiaceae. The transcript is spliced from 6 exons.